RNA transcript from Ctenopharyngodon idella (grass carp), 12069 nucleotides. RefSeq lists it as uncharacterized. NCBI's taxonomy places the organism in Eukaryota, Metazoa, Chordata, Actinopteri, Cypriniformes, Xenocyprididae. The transcript is spliced from 2 exons. The record is from RefSeq and is a predicted model, not a curated record.
UUACAUUAAUAUACAUUGCCGUGUGAAUGUGUAUGUAUAUAGACGUUUGUAUGCAUAUUCAAUGCUAUAUUGUUUUGCCGUGAUAUUUAUGCUCGUGCUAAGAAGAGUUUCUAUUAACAGACGGACAAAUACGUGAUAAAGUUCUGUGUUUCCUGCAAAUACCUAUACUAAUGAUGCUGAAAUGGAUCGCUGGAAUAUUUGUGCUGAUAUUAUAUUUGUAUUACAGUUCGAUUGUGUUGUUUACGUGAUGUUUAACGAGUAGGCCUAUUUGAUUGUGUUCAGCACGAUAUCAUGACGCAGCAGUUGUUCUAUUACUGGAGCAAGAGCUCCGCCUAGUGGGCAUUAGUUUAAUUUCAGUCUGUAUUCCCAAUUCAGCGUUGCUUUAUGGGUGAUGUAUAUUUGCAAGCAUUGCACUUGAUAUUUGAGAAGUUUAUUUAAUUUAUUAUUGUUAUUUUAUUUCAGAAACCACACACACUCACACAAACUGUAUCAAACCCAAACUGCUGGACUAUUGGAAUAAAUCAAUGCUUUAGAACCGAAGCUGUCUUGAACUUUUGCCUAUAAACCUUCUGAUCGAGGUUGAGGAUUAGAUGUUGGCAAGCCAGUGCAUCCACGCACAUACAUCUUUAACAAAGUGGUCCUUCGAGCCGGAUACAACAUCUCAUCCUCAUGGCAGCAUCACGGGAUUACAUUGAAGAACAGCAGGGUCUCCAUCCUAGCAGGAUCCGCUAGAAUUCCUGGACAUCUGGAAGACUUUGUACUUACUUCCCAACCACGGCAGCUCGUUCCACCCUCUUUGCAAGAGGAUUUACAGCAUAUGCAUAUUAGUGAGACUGUCUCUGCUACCGAUGUGGACUAUAGAACUUCUACUCCAGAAAGGCAUUGGACUGAGCAGUAUGCUGAGACUACAAGGUUACGUAGAGUAGAGGAGUGUGUUUGGAAUGUACAAGAGCAAAUCAGGGAACUACAAAGCACAUUACAAAUGUCUCUCGAGCAAGGCAAAGGUUCACCACGCAUGCAUCAGGACUACUACCAUGCCGCAGGUGCUGGACAUCAAAGGUCAGUCCCUCACUUAAGCAGUCAACGGCAGUCCAUCCAGCAACGUAGUGCCAGCUUGCCUCUUCUCUAUGCAGACACAAGACCAGGUUCACAAAGCCCUGAUAACAUUGAAGUAUUAAAGUACUCUUCUCAAAUGAUACCUGCACACUCAUCAACCACAGCAUUACCUCAACUACAGAGUCAGCCUCCAGUCCAGCUGCCACAGGGGUUAUUACCUCAAGCUCAACAGCCCUUGUCUCGUCCAGCAUCUGUCCCUGUUACUGAACGUCAUGUAGCACAACAUGAGCCGCGCCCAGGGUCUGCUCCAGCAGGUAUGAUACAUCAGCCGUACAUUUAUCAACAGACUGGUGAUCAUCAGCAGACAUAUCAGCCACAAGUCCCAUCUUUUGCACAACAACAUGUACCUCCAAUGACAUCAUCUACGUCUACAGUGUACCGAACUGUACCUAGCAAACCGCCAAUUUAUGCACCUUUGAUUACACCUGUGCAGAGCAACACUGUGAAUCCCAAUUACGUCCAACCACAGUUCACACAGUCAUUCCCAGCAUUUGCUCUAGCACAGCCUCUGAUGUCUCAGUACUCGGAACCUCCCCCACUGCAAUCUGUAAAUUAUCCAGAUCCAUACACACAGGGUUAUAGACCUACCAGACUCCUAGAUGCAAUACCUCAGCCACAGUCAUAUUCUGCACCAUUCCCUUCCACUGUACAGCCAGUACAAGUUCCAAGCAUGGUGGAGAUGGCUAUCGCUUCCUCUUAUGGAAUACCUAAGCCUAAGCUCAUUCAUUUCACCACUGGGAAGGAGAGUGAUUUUACUCUGUUAAAAAAGGGACUUGAUGGCAUCCUGGGCCCACAUCUUCAUUUAACGGAGGACUAUAAAUUCCAAGUGUUACUUGAUCAUCUCAAAUUACCAGCUGCCUUUCAGAUAGCUAAGAGAUACAUGUAUGACCCCAUGCCUUAUACAAGAGCCAUGCAAGCUUUGCAACAGCGCUAUGGACAGCCCCGACAACUGGUACAGGGAGAAAUCGGCAACAUUCUCCGCACACCUCCACUGAAACCAGGAGAUGCUCAAGGAUUUGAGGACUUUGCAUUAUCAGUUAGUACUCUUGUUGGCCUCCUUAAUACAUUGGAGGGGUCUUCCAAGACAGAGCUUAUGUGUGGUUCCCAUGUUGACAGAUUGCUCACUAAGCUUCCAUCCUCUCAUAGAGAUAGCUUUGUUGAAUACUGUAUGACCAAGGGCAUUAUCCAGAAUGGGACUGAUAGAACCUACACUCUUCCUGAGUUUGCAGAGUGGCUUGAGAGAAAAUCACAAGCGCUUCAGAUAUCAAGGAGAGCAGCUGAUCUCUACAGUUCAGAUAAACCUCUCUCUGAGAAUAGAGAACAGAAAACCCUGAAGCCACCAAAGAUACAAUCCACAAUCUACUAUGGCAAAGAUAAUGCGACAGAAAAGCCCUCUGCCUCAUCUACCUCGUCUUUCCAAACAAAGAAAGAGCAGACAAAAGUCAAGAAACGGGAAAGCUUUAAGCCGUACUGCCCCUUCUGCAAAUGUCAACAGCAUUACCUCAACUCUUGUCCUGAAUUUGGUAAACUGAAUGUUGAACAAAUAACAGCAUGGAUAAAGGACAACAACAGAUGCUGGAGAUGUGGUAGAGGUCAUGAGCCUGCAAACUGCACCUUGAAAAAGCCAUGUUCCAAUUGUGGUGAACAACACUUGUCAAUUCUUCAUGAAACCGCAUCCAACAUCAACAAGAGCAUCCUUACUGUGAAUACAGUACCCCGCACGGUUUACCUCGAUCAAGUAACUCACUCAGGUAGAGUUAUGUUGAAAGUUGUUCAGGUCAGACUCCAUAGCAAAGGGAGAACAUUGGACACAUUUGCCAUUCUAGAUGAUGGGUCUGAAAGGACCAUAAUUCUCCCCACAGUAGUGCAUUACCUUGAUCUGGAGAAGACAGAUGAAUCACUUGCCCUCAGGACAAUUAGACAAGAGGUAGUAGAGAUCCAGGGUGCAUCAGUCUCAUUUGAAGUGUCUGCAUCUCUGAAUCCGAACAUUCGUCACAAGAUACACACUGCCUUUACCGCACAAGAGCUGAACAUUGCCAAACAAUCCUGCCCUGUGGACAUUUUAAAGCACAAGUUUGUACAUCUGAGGGACGUUCCCAUUAUUCCUUUCAAAGAGGUACAGCCCAUGCUCCUUAUCGGUUCUGAUUACCCUCAACUCAUCACACCGAUAGCUCCAGUACUUAUGGGCCCAUUGGGUAGUCCUGUUGGAGUUAGUACAAGUUUGGGCUGGGCCAUUCAGGGUCCAACUACAUUCCUUGACCAGCCAUUGGAGACUACUUGUCUGAACAUCUCGCUGUUCCACUCUCCCACACAAGAUCUGUCUCAUCAUGUUGAAAAGUUAUGGCAAGUAGACAUACUUCCCUUUCAGCCUGUGAAAGACAUGACACAAUCCAAGCAGGACAGAGAUGCUCUUCAAAUGCUGGAAGCUAAAACGAAGAGAGUAGAAGUGGAUGGAGUCUCUCGCUAUGCAACUCCUCUUCUUCGCAAAGGGAAUGCAAAAGUCUUGCAUGCUGGAACAGAAUCAGUCAUGGCUCUUCUAAGGGCCACUGAGCGCCGUUUAAACCGAAAUUCAGAGCUUGCAGAAGUCUACAAGAAAGAAAUACACAAACUGGAGCAGGCAGGGUAUGCAACAAAACUCACACCUGAAGAGGCUAUGGGUACAGAUGAGUCAUGGUUUAUUCCCCACCAUCUUGUGCAUCACAACAACAAAGCCAGGGUUGUGUUCAACUGUUCUUAUCAGUUCCACCAAGCUUCACUGAAUAAUCAGUUACUCCCAGGACCUACAUUGGGUCCAUCAUUGCUGGGAGUUCUUCUCAGAUUCAGACAAUAUCCUGUGGCCAUCAGUGGGGACAUUCGUUCAAUGUUUCACCAAGUGCGCCUCCUUCCAGAAGAUCAGCCUUUGUUACGUUUCUUGUGGAGAGAUCUGGAAAAGGAGAGAACGCCUGACAUCUAUGAGUGGCGUGUUCUUCCUUUUGGGACCACAUGCAGUCCAUGCUGUGCCAUCUACGCCCUCCAGCGUCAUGUCAUAGACCAUCGCGAAGGCAAUGAAGACGUGGUAGACUCAGUAUUGAAAUCCUUCUAUGUGGAUAACUGUUUGCAGUUUCUUUCCACAACUGAUGAGGCCAAACAGCUCAUAGACAAGAUGAGAGCUUUACUAUCUGCUGGGGGAUUUGAAAUAAGACAAUGGGCCAGUAACUACCCAGAGGUAAUUGCUCAUCUACCAACUGAAGCAAGGUCGGAAAGCUGUGAGCUAUGGCUGACUGUAAACAAGACAGACCCACAAGAGUCUACACUCGGGCUCUCUUGGCACUGCCCCUCUGACAAGCUUGGCUAUCGAAAUCGCCCACUAUCCACAGAGGAGCCCACUAUGCGCAAUAUUUAUAGAUUGCUAGCCUCUCAAUAUGACCCUCUUGGUUAUAUUUUGCCUUAUACCACCCGGGCCAAAAUCUUUGUUCAAGCUCUGUGGAUAAACAAAAGAGGUUGGGAUGACUGCAUUGAAACGGAGAUGCUUGCCAAAUGGCAAGAGUGGACCAAUGAACUGCAGUAUCUACCCAUGGUAGGCAUGCCAAGGUGCUAUUUCCCAGUCUGUCCAGAACCUGACAAUGACAAGAUAGAGUUGCAUGUGUUCUGCGAUGCUUCUGAGAGGGCUUACGGUUCGGUGGCAUAUCUGCGUCUCCAAGACAAGGAGGGCAGGAUUCAUACCUCAUUUGCUAUGGCUAGAUCCCGUGUUGCACCCAAAAAGCAACUAUCAAUGCCAGGACUGGAACUGUGUGGUGCCCUUACCGGAGUACAACUGGCUAAACUCCUCUUAACAGAAAUUACUCUACCCAUCCAUAACACUAUUCUCUGGACAGACUCCACUACAGUUCUCACUUGGAUCAAAUCUGAAUCCUGUCACUACAAGGUGUUUGUUGGCACACGGAUUGCCGAAAUACAGGAAUUGACCAGUGCAGAGAACUGGAGAUAUGUGGAAUCAGAUCUAAACCCUGCUGAUGAUAUUACAAGAGGGAAAUCUCUCUAUGAACUCUCUCAGGUAUGUCAGUGGAACCAGGGCCCUUACUUCCUCCAGCAGUCACCAGAAAACUGGCCCACACCACCUACCUUAUCCUCCACUGAUGAGAAUGAGCUAAGAAAGUCAUUUUUCUGUGCUCAUGUUGCUGUUCUUCACUCCUCCCUACCAGAUCCAGAGCAGCACCCAACAUGGCCAGACUUGGUUCAAGCUACCUACCGGUCUGCACAUGGGGCCUUAGCACCCUCAAUGUCAGCCUCACAACGUGUUGAUACUGAACUGCUUCUUCUCAGACAAGCGCAGCAGGAUAGUUUUCCUGAUGAAGUCCAUGCACUUCAGAAUGGCAAGGCCAUACGUGCUAGCAGUAGGUUAAGUACUUUGUCACCUGAAUAUGAUCAAACCUUGGGAGUAAUUCGGGUAGGAGGUCGCCUUCGCAAAGCUGAGAAACUUGAUGUUGAAACCUUGCAUCCUAUUGUAUUAGCACCUGAUCACCCCAUCACUAAACUCAUAAUACAAGAUUACGACAACAGACUUCUUCAUCCUGGUCCUGAGCGUGUCUUCGCAGAGUUGCGAAGAACUUACUGGAUUAUCCGAGGCAGACAAGCCAUAAAGAAAUAUCAACACCAGUGCAAAGAAUGCAGGAAAUGGCGCAGUAAUCCAGUCAACCCUAAAAUGGCAGAUCUCCCUGCUGCUCGUCUUCGCUUAUACCAGCCUCCCUUCUGGUCAACUGGAGUCGAUUGCUUCGGACCAUUUACAGUAAAGAUAGGCAGAAGACAUGAGAAACGAUGGGGAAUCGUUUUCAAGUGUCUCACCACAAGGUGUAUCCACUUAGACCUCCUGCAUAAUAUGGAUACUGACUCCUUUCUCAUGGCUUUACGCCGCUUCGUUGCACGACGAGGCAAACCCUUUGAGUUAAUAUCCGACCAAGGUACAAAUUUCAGAGGUGGGAAUCGAGAACUCCAAGAAACCUUCUCUGCACUUGAGCCAGAAAUCAAAGAAAAACUGAGUGAACAGAGUAUUUCCUUUCAGUUUAAUCCUCCACAUGCACCUCAUUUUGGUGGAGCCUGGGAGCGUGAAAUACGCUCUAUUAAAUCCUGUCUUCAAGUAGUACUUAAGGAUCAAGUUGUGUCAGAGGAAGUACUGUCUACUGUUCUGGUAGAAGUGGAGGGAAUACUAAAUUCUAAACCACUUGGGUAUGUAUCAUCAGAAAUAUCAGAUUUGGACCCAAUUACUCCAAAUCUCUUGCUGAUGGGGCGGCGGGAUGCCUCUCUCCCUCAAGUGGUUUAUGGCACAAGAGAAUUGCUCGGAAAGAGAAAGUGGCGACAUAGCCAAGUCAUAGCUGACCAGUUCUGGAAACAGUUCAUUCAGAACUACUUGCCAAGUCUACAACCCCGUGCUAAAUGGCAAAAAUCUACACCAAAUCUAUUGGUGGGACAAGUAGUUAUGGUUGUGGACUCUCAACUGCCACGAGCCCUCUGGCCAGUAGGCAGAGUAAGCAAAGUUGUUCCCAGCAGCGACGGAACAAUUAGAACGGCUGAUGUAACUAUUGGGAACCGUGUCUACUGUCGCCCUGUUUCUAAGCUAAUUGUUCUACCAGAGAUGCCCACUGAGACCAAUGGUACCUAACUUCAGAGAACAGGGAUCUUUAUUUAAUUUCUAAUUUGCUGUACAAAUUAGGGGGCGGCUGUAUAAAAUCCCUGUUGACUCUUAUUUUGAAUUCGUUAGUGACAUCACAUGUGGGCGGAGUCGUGGACAUGCCCAAACAAGUUCAGUAAAAAGACUGUUCUGCCGCUGCAACGAGAGAGAUCAUAGUUUGUUAGAUGUGUGUGGGUUCUUGACAACGGAACUCGCUCUGCGUUUGAAACGCUAUGGGGAACGUCACACGUGACCCGGUGUCUGAAAGCCAACUAUCCAACAACUCCAAUCCCUAUUGGCCGGCGACAGCCUAUGACGUAAUAUGACGCGACCCGGAAACAUAAAAGGAGCGCCUGGAGAAACAGUCAGUAUCUUUUUGUCUUUCGGGUCUGUUCUGUCUGAUCGCAACUAUAUCGACUCCGGUAAGGGAUUCUAUAAUAUGCCUUACAAACGUUCAAGAGAGUGAGUUCAUCUGUGUCCCAGGUUUUGACACUUGAUAUACACAUUUCUGGGCGUUUUCUGUGUGGAGAGGAGAGCGCAUAGACAGUGCUUGAGGGCGCUGUCUGUGUGUUUGUCUGUUAUUUACUGUGAGCAUCUUCCUAUUGGGAUGCUCUGUUCUCGUUCGGCACUCUUCUCGAGGGAAGACGUGUCCGCAUCUGUGCCUGGUGAUUCUGGCCCUGUUUGUGCUGAGGCAAAACGGCGGCUGCAAUCAUAGGGCUUGCAGGUGAGCUCGUUGGGAAGUUUGAGAGAGUUGUAAUCUCUCUCAGCUCCCCCGGGGCUGACGAGGAUGAAUUGUUGGAUGACGAUGACGUCCGUAUUUGACGUCAUCGCGUCCGGCAGCGAGCGCUCCUCUGGCUGAUGUGGAGCUGCUGGUGUUUUUGGGACGCGCUUUUUGGCAGGCUGCAGCUGCCGUGAGAGCGCGUUAAGAAAGGGGCCGUGCGCAGACGGCUCGACGAGCAGUUCCUUUCUGUCCAUGAACGCUGCAGCUCCCAUAAGCUUUCCAUUCCUUCCGGAUCUCCGCGUUGAGAUCAGGAGGGCAUGGAAAAACCCCUAGCCAUUCAGAUUUGUAUCUGAGCCCAGACAGACAGGAGGAGGAAGAAGUGAGAGUGAGAUGGGUGAUCGAUUGUAAACACCUCUGCGUUUGUAAUCGAUCCCCCAGCUGCAAGGGCGAUUUAUAUCUACCCUCUCCUUUUCUUCUUUCACCUCCUAUAUAUAUGUGUAUAUAUAUAUGUUUAUUUAUAUACAUGUGUAUAUAUAUUUUAUGUAGGAAUGCAAUCGGUGAGGUUAACAGCUAGGUUGUAGACUGUUUUUAGACUCCCUGAUGCUGUUUUCUCAGGUGGUAGGCCCUUAUCUUUGCGUAGAUAAGUUAUGCAGGUGUAUGUUAGGCCCCACUUCUAUAACUUUUCAUGCUAUGGAAAAUGUUUUUCCUCUGAGCCACUUGAUUUUCUUAAUCAAGUUUGAGUUGACGGUGCUAGCUUUUAGCCUUUGUCCUCCAGGGCUUAGUACAGAUUUGAGAAUCUGUGUGGAGAAAAUGUUUAUCCUCAUUGGAAACAGCAUGUAUGUCAAAGCAUUACGUUUGCUUUGAGUUCAAGACUUUUGCCCUACAUUUGUAUGUGAGCUUACUUAUGCUGCCACAGGUUAGCACCUGUUCUCAUAAUAGCAGGCUUUUUGAUGUUAGCCUCUAUUGGAGAGAUUGGUGACUAUUAUAUUCCCCAGUUGAGGUUUAUUUGUGUCACUGAGUGCAUCACCUGUUGGAUUGCAUACUCAGGGUAGUAUAGAACCACUUUUUGAGAGAAGCUGGUUUCUAUUAGCUCCCUUUUGUGAUCUUGUUAACAGCUAUAUUGCAUAUAACUUUGUAGGCUCUUAUGGUUAAUUAGCCUCCUUCUAGUUAAUGUAUUUCUAACAAGUGCUGUUAGUUGAUCAUAGUUUGCUCACAUAGUUUACACUGCCACAGGCUUUUGCUACGUGUCCGUUUGAGGUAGUAGGCCAUAUAGGCCUCCCUUAGACCAUGUUGGCAUUGUUUGGUUCCCUUUAGUCACAUAUGAUUUAGGGUAUAUUGCCUGUUGGAAUGUGUAGCCUAGCUCAGGUUGCAGUUAGCUUCCCACAGCUAUUGUUGGGUUAGAGCUGGUCUCCUGUAGCUUGGUUCCCUUUAUUUCACGAGCUGAAGCCACGUGUCAUUGGAACGGUAGGCCCCAACAGGCCUCCUUUCUAGUUCACAUCUUGGCACAGUUUGUGUUUUAUUCUGCAAACAGGCUGAAUGCCACUUGUUGCUGAGAUUGUAGGCCCCACAAGGCCUCCUUUUUAGCUGACUUGCUGGCAGGAUGCCUGGGAAUCCAAGAACCCAUACCACCAUCGGCCACGCCCCACCUCUGUUGAGUAGGCCUUAAGCAGGCCUCUCGUGGAGUAUGGUGGCGUAAUAUGCAUUCCUUCUCUCAGUAUUAUGCGUGAAAGGUUUUUCACUGAAUGCAUGGCCUGUUGGUUGGUAUGGUCUUGGACUGGCUGAUGCCAUGUGUUUACUAGGGUAGGCCCUAAUAAGGCCUCCUUUUUAGUUUACAUGUUGGCACAGUUUGUGUUUAUAUGGACAAACGGGCUGAACGCCACUUGUUGCUGAACUUGGAAGCCCCAUAAGGCCUCCUUUUUAGCUGACAUGCUGGCAGGAUGCUUAUGAAUCCAAUACCACCAUCGACCACACCCCACCUCUGUUGAGUAGGCCUUAAGCAGGCCUCUCGUGGAGUAUGUGGCGUAAUAUGCAUUUCCUUUUAGAAACUAAAUCGUUGAAUGCAUGGCCUGAUGGUUGGUGUGGUUAUGGUCGCCACUUGCUGAUGCCACGUGUUUACUAAGGUAGGCCCUAUGGGCCUCCCGUGUAGCAUGUUGGAGUUCAGUUAUGUACUCCUCUCACUUUGAGAGUAAAAGGUGCUUUUACCGAGUACUCUUCUGAGUGACUGACCUCUCAGGGGUGAGUUUUUGUGGUAAAAACCUUACUGAGGUUUGGUUUUAACUACAUCAGCCUCCUUGAGUCUGGGUUUCUACUCUAGUUGAGCUAAAUAGCCACCUAGUAUCUAGGUUGGUUCUAUUUUUGCUCCUAGAACCCUAAUGGCCACUAGACUAACGCCGUAUGUCUUAAAGGUUUUUAGGCCCUUUGGAUGGCCUUUUUUAAACAUACUAGCGUAUGUUGUAGUGUAUCCUCUUACUAGAGAGCUAUCAGUAUCCUACUGAAUACACUUCUGGUUGGCCAGGGCCCCAGGUGAUAAUUUAACCUCCAUUUGGUUCGGUUAUUUAUCCUUCCUGGUGCUUUAAACACUGCCACGAGCUGAUGCCACGUGUCUGCUGAGGUCAUAGGCCCCUCAAAGGCCUUCCUUAGUGCGUGCUGGCGUACGUUGUACUCCUCUUGCUUUAAAGAGUAAAAAGGGUUCUAUUACUGAGUACACUGCUCGUUGGAUUGUGUUAGGUGGAUUGUCAUGUGGGCACUUUACAGUUUAACUACUGUCACUAAGUCAUAUGUCCUGCUCCAACAGCAAGACAGGUGUUCAAGGUGGCCCUCACAGGCCACCACUGAAUGUCCUUCUAAUAUGAUGAAAUGCUUUUCGUAUGUGAGUCAUGUUCCAUAUAAAGCUAUUAUAAUGAUGUAGGCCCCUUUCUGGCCUCCAUGAUUAUGUGCCCACAGUAUGGUCUACCUGUUAGGUUGAGCUUUGCACUUCCCUGCUAGGGUUGUCUGUGUAAUAGUGCUUAGCUCCCUAAGCUGAUCAUGGGUUGUAGGCCUCCUUAAGGCCUCCUCCUAAGGUUCAGCCCUAGGCUGGUUUGUGCUCCCCUGUAUCAGGGUUUCUAGUGCACAGCCUCCUCAGUGCAAAUAAUCAAGCGCUGAAUAGAUCCUAGGAUGAGUGGAUUAUACUCCCCUCAAUAUGAGGGUUCAUAGCACUCAGCUGAGUUCUGCUCUCCAGGAUGCCCGUCUCUACGUGGCCACUAGACUAACGCCGUAUGUUUUACAGGUAUUAGGCCCUCUGGGCCACCUUUUGAACAUACUGGUGUAUGUAAUAGUGUACUCCUCUCGCUGAGAGAGUUACAAGUGUUUUGUUGAGUACAUUUCUGGUUGGCCAGGGCCCCAGGUGAUAAUUUAACCUCCUUAUGGUUCGGUUAUUUAUCCUUCCUGGUGCUUGAAACACUGCCACGAGCUGACACCACGUGUCUGCUGAGGUCAUAGGCCCAUCUUUGGGGCCUUCCUUAGUGCGUGAUGGCGUAUGUUGUACUCCUCUUGCUUUAAAGAGUAAAAAGGUUCUUUUACCGAGUACACUGCUUGUUGGAUUGUGUUAGGUGGACUGUUAUGUGGGCACUUCACAGUCUCAUUUUGCUGUAUACUAAAGUCAUGUUUCUUGCUUCCAGCAAGACAGGGGUUCAAGGUGGCCUUCGUAGGCCACCAUUGACUCUCCUACUGUUGUGACAAAGUACUCUAGCUUAUGUGAGUCGUACUCCACAUAGAACUACUAUCAUGAUGUCGGCCCUUUCUGGCCUCCAUGGUUAUGUGCCCACAGUAUGGUCUACCUGUUAGGUUGAGCUUUGUACUUCCCUGCUAGGGUUGUCUGUGUAAUAGUGCUUAGCUCCCUAAGCUGAUCAUUGGUGAAGACUUCCUUGAGGCCUCCCAUUGAGGAUCAGCCCCAGGCUGGUUUGUGCUCCCCUGUAUCAGGGUUCUUUAGCGCACAGCCUCCUCAGUGGGAAUAAUCAAGCGCUGAGUAGAUCCUAGGAUGAGCGGAUUAUACUCCCCUCAAUACAAGGGUUUAUAGCACUCAGCUGAGUUCUGCUCUCCAGGAUGCCCAUCUCUACGCGUGGGUUUGAGUUACUUACUGCCCUUCUUGCAGUCGCUCUUACCUGCUCUCUUCUCUGAAGAAUGCGUUAUGGAGAUUCUGUAUUCAGACAGGGUUGGCCAAGACUAAGUUUGUCCUGCAUCAGACCAGGUCGGCCUCCCUGGUGGCAUUGGGGGUGGCUUCGUUCCACUCUAGUGACUGGCCGGGGCUCUUUUUGGUUCCCUGGCCAUAUUCCCAACUUUUCUGAGGAAUGCCUUGAGCGGCAUUAGUAAGCUUUCUACGGAAGGCCUCUUUGAGGCUUAGCUUGGGCUGUUGGCCAUAGCAACCCGAGGGUGAGUUGCUAAGCGUUUCCUUCGAAACUGCUCGACAUUUGUCAGCCAUAUUUUUUGGCAUGCACUCUCCUUAAGCAUGGCGGCAUGGGUAUAUCGUUCCCCAUAGCGUUUCAAAUGCAGAGCGAGUUCCCUUUCGAAAGGGAAUGUCUCAGGUUACGUAUGUAACCAUGGUUCCCUGAGA